This 492-nucleotide ribosomal RNA is filed under the name uncultured bacterium. Its description in RNAcentral is "partial 16S ribosomal RNA". It matches the Rfam family "Bacterial small subunit ribosomal RNA", at positions 29 to 507 of the family's 1533-position model. The record is from RNAcentral.
AGUGAACGCUGGCGGUAGGCCUAACACAUGCAAGUCGAACGGCAGCACAGUAAGAGCUUGCUCUUACGGGUGGCGAGUGGCGGACGGGUGAGGAAUACAUCGGAAUCUACUUUUUCGUGGGGGAUAACGUAGGGAAACUUACGCUAAUACCGCAUACGACCUACGGGUGAAAGCAGGGGAUCUUCGGACCUUGCGCGAUUGAAUGAGCCGAUGUCGGAUUAGCUAGUUGGGGGGGUAAAGGCCCACCAAGGCGACGAUCCGUAGCUGGUCUGAGAGGAUGAUAAGCCACACUGGAGCGGAGACACGGUCCAGACUACUACGGGAGGCAGCAGUGGGGAAUAUUGGACAAUGGGCGCAAGCCUGAUCCAGCCAUACCGCGUGGGUGAAGAAGGCCUUCGGGUUGUAAAGCCCUUUUGUUGGGAAAGAAAAGCAGCAGGUUAAUACCCCGCUGUUCUGACGGUACCCAAAGAAUAAGCACCGGCUAACUUCGUG